Molecule: ribosomal RNA, 409 nt
Filed under: uncultured bacterium
Lineage: Bacteria
Description: bacterial SSU rRNA
Rfam family: Bacterial small subunit ribosomal RNA
Source: RNAcentral
CAGCAGCCGCGGUAAUACGUAGGGACCAAGCGUUGUUCGGAUUUACUGGGCGUAAAGGGCGCGUAGGCGGCGCGGUAAGUCACUUGUGAAAUCUCUGAGCUUAACUCAGAACGGCCAAGUGAUACUGCAGUGCUAGAGUGUGGAAGGGGCAAUCGGAAUUCUUGGUGUAGCGGUGAAAUGCGUAGAUAUCAAGAGGAACACCUGAGGUGAAGACGGGUUGCUGGGCCAACACUGACGCUGAGGCGCGAAAGCCAGGGGAGCAAACGGGAUUAGAUACCCCGGUAGUCCUGGCCCUAAACGAUGAAUACUUGGUGUCUGGAGUUUUAAUGCUCCGGGUGCCGUCGCUAACGUUUUUAGUAUUCCGCCUGGGGAGUACGCUCGCAAGAGUGAAACUCAAAGGAAUUGACGG